Molecule: long non-coding RNA, 305 nt
Filed under: Dromaius novaehollandiae (emu)
Lineage: Eukaryota; Metazoa; Chordata; Aves; Casuariiformes; Dromaiidae
Description: lncRNA (ENSDNVG00000016678.1)
Source: RNAcentral
ACCACAUGAAACCUGCCCUGUCUUCCCAGGCUUCCCAGAUUAAAAUAAGCAAUGCCUAGCUAUUAUAUAACACAUUUUCUCUCUAGAACUCAAAGCACUUUACUGAUUGCUUUAUUACUGCAUCCAUUUUACAGCUGAACAAACUGAGGCACGAAGGGGAAAUGGUCAUUCAGCAAGAGAGCAGCAGCAGAGACAGGAAAAGAAGCCGGAUUCCCAAGACCGCUCUCAGUUUACUAAACUGCUUUGCCUCUGCUCAGAUAUCCCAGAGCGGCGUGCAGAAGCCACAGUUUGGAAGAAGAGCAUGA